CCAAGGUUCCGAAUAGCGAAACUGAUACAGUAAAAUAUGAUUAAAAACGAUAGUCAGGCCUGCAUCAACUCCGCACUUUCUUUAUGACCAUCUAUAAAUGAAUAUACUUGCCAACCCAUACUUCAAGAAUUAACAAUUUAACUGUCCCCAUAAUUUUAUCGCGUCCCGCCAAGGCUCAUAACAUGCGCUAUUACGAAAUUCUGAAAACAACGGCAGUGCUACACCUAGCAAGGUAAACGGUGUAAUAGUAUAUGUCGGAUAAAUAUUGGACAUUUAAAAUGUGCGAUUUAAACAAGGUGCUGAGUAAUGUAAUAAACAAGAUCGGUGGAAAUAUUAGCGGAAUAACUGAACCUUAAGAAUAAAAACUUAAAUACACUUGGAUUAUUACAAAAUAUAAUAAUUAUAUCUCGGAUUAAAAACUUAAGCUUCAUUAAAACACAUU
RNAcentral lists this unclassified non-coding RNA (442 nucleotides) under Moritella viscosa. RNAcentral describes it as "putative sRNA". Lineage: Bacteria; Pseudomonadati; Pseudomonadota; Gammaproteobacteria; Alteromonadales; Moritellaceae. The record is from RNAcentral.